GGGAAACUAGGACAUGGUCCAAAUAUCUGCUAUCCAUUGAACACCUGCUCUGCGCCAAGUAACUUCCAAUGGGCUUUGAAGUCUUACUCCUUCUCACCUAAACUUCAUAAGAGCUUCAGUCUGCAUCAUCAACUACCCAGGGAGGAAUUUCAACUUCCACACAGAGACCUUCAUCUCUGAGACCCCAUACAGGUGCGUCUGAGACCCCAGAAAGUACUGCAGGAAAUGUUCAAAGAGAAUGGAAGCCAAGAAUGUUUACCUGAGGUCACCUAGUAUCAAGCCAGG
This 285-nucleotide long non-coding RNA is filed under the name Homo sapiens (human). RNAcentral's name for it is "HSALNT0396269". The record is from RNAcentral. Lineage: Eukaryota; Metazoa; Chordata; Mammalia; Primates; Hominidae.